This 71-nucleotide small nucleolar RNA is filed under the name Tursiops truncatus (common bottlenose dolphin). RNAcentral's name for it is "Small nucleolar RNA SNORA33 (ENSTTRG00000023062.1)". Lineage: Eukaryota; Metazoa; Chordata; Mammalia; Artiodactyla; Delphinidae. The record is from RNAcentral.
AAGAAUUUCCUGCCAUGUUAUGAGCCUUAAAGACGUGGAAGUCAUUAAGGCCCUUGAGAAUAGCUAAAAGA